GACUACGGCCAUGUCACCCUGAACACUCCUGAUCUCGUCUGAUCUUGGAAGCUAAGCAGGGUUGGGCCUGGUUAGUACUUGGAUGGGAGACCACCUAGGAAUAUCAGGUGCUGUAGGCU
RNAcentral lists this ribosomal RNA (119 nucleotides) under Pteropus alecto (black flying fox). Lineage: Eukaryota; Metazoa; Chordata; Mammalia; Chiroptera; Pteropodidae. The record is from RNAcentral.